AUGAAACACUCCUACGGGAGGCAGCAGUGAGGAAUAUUGGUCAAUGGACGUAAGUCUGAACCAGCCAAGUAGCGUGCAGGAUGACGGCCCUAUGGGUUGUAAACUGCUUUUGUAUGGGGAUAAAGUUGGGGACGUGUCUCUAUUUGCAGGUACCAUACGAAUAAGGACCGGCUAAUUCCGUGCCAGCAGCCGCGGUAAUACGGAAGGUCCAGGCGUUAUCCGGAUUUAUUGGGUUUAAAGGGAGCGUAGGCUGGAUAUUAAGUGUGUUGUGAAAUGUAGACGCUUAACGUCUGACUUGCAGCGCAUACUGGUUUCCUUGAGUACGCACAACGUUGGCGGAAUUCGUCGUGUAGCGGUGAAAUGCUUAGAUAUGACGAAGAACUCCGAUUGCGAAGGCAGCUGACGGGAGCGCAACUGACGCUUAAGCUCGAAGGUGCGGGUAUCAAACAGGAUUAGAUACCCGAGUAGUCCGAAGUUC
Molecule: ribosomal RNA, 478 nt
Filed under: uncultured bacterium
Lineage: Bacteria
Description: bacterial SSU rRNA
Rfam family: Bacterial small subunit ribosomal RNA
Source: RNAcentral